CGCAGGGGGAAGCGGCCCUAGAGGCCAGCGGGGCCGCCGGGGGCUCUCCCCCCGGCCUGGUAUGGGCCAGGCGCUGACCCGGGGGUCACGCCUGUCGGGGGAGGGGACCUCGCAGACCCUACGGGAACGGUCCCGGCGCCGGCAUAAAGCUUCCCCCAGACCGCUGAGAGGGGGUCCCCCGUUUCUCCUUAAAAGGGUCCUGCGACCUCCCAGAGAGGAGCGCCUUCACAAUGGGAAGAGAUACCCGCAGACCUCAGAGGUCGUUCUCUGCCAUCUAAGAAAAGAGUCUUUUCAGAUACUUACAAAAGAAUCCGCGAGGCUUUCUGUGAAGCGCCUUGCUUAGGCAUUACACCCUCCACCCCGCUACGUUAGGGGAGUGUGACGUUUCCUCGCUGACCCCCAACCCCCUGCAUUUCGUCUUCAUUUGUCCACAUCUAAGCAGCUUGCAAGUUUUCUCCCUAAGUCAUUCAACUACAUCUCUCCUCUUUGUCUUCCGUCUUUUGUUUCUGCUCAAGCAGUUCCCCAUGUGUCUGAAUGAUGUCCAGGCCUGGUUUCACUCCAAAAGGAGAAAAAAGGGAGGAGCGGGAAUCAGUAAAGCUCACAGGAAACCUCCUGAGCAGGCCCACCUGGAAACGGCUGCAGGAAGGAAGAAAUUAAUACAUCCUGGAACCAGGACUUUACCCCCUCCCCUUUUAGUAUAAAAGAAGCAUGACUUCUAACCCAGGGAAGAUGGUUCUUUAGGACACUAGUCCACCAUCUUCUCCAUCUGCUAGCUUUCCAAAUAAAGUUGUUUUUCCUUGCCCCAA
This is a long non-coding RNA of Physeter macrocephalus (sperm whale), 806 nucleotides long. RefSeq lists it as uncharacterized. Lineage: Eukaryota; Metazoa; Chordata; Mammalia; Artiodactyla; Physeteridae. The record is from RefSeq and is a predicted model, not a curated record. The transcript is spliced from 3 exons.